UGGGGAAUAUUGCACAAUGGGCGCAAGCCUGAUGCAGCCAUGCCGCGUGUGUGAAGAAGGCUCUAGGGUUGUAAAGCACUUUCAGUUGGGAGGAAAAGUUGUGUGUUAAUAGCAUACGACCGUGACGUUACCAACAGAAGAAGCACCGGCUAACUCCGUGCCAGCAGCCGCGGUAAUACGGAGGGUGCAAGCGUUAAUCGGAAUUACUGGGCGUAAAGCGCGCGUAGGCGGCUUGUUAAGCCAGAUGUGAAAGCCCCGGGCUCAACCUGGGAACUGCAUUUGGAACUGGCAAGCUAGAGUGUGUGAGAGGUGAGUGGAAUUUCCUGUGUAGCGGUGAAAUGCGUAGAUAUAGGAAGGAACAUCAGUGGCGAAGGCGACUCACUGGCACAACACUGACGCUGAGGUGCGAAAGCGUGGGUAGCAAACGGG
Molecule: ribosomal RNA, 429 nt
Filed under: uncultured bacterium
Lineage: Bacteria
Description: bacterial SSU rRNA
Rfam family: Bacterial small subunit ribosomal RNA
Source: RNAcentral